This 427-nucleotide ribosomal RNA is filed under the name uncultured bacterium. RNAcentral's name for it is "partial 16S ribosomal RNA". It matches the Rfam family "Bacterial small subunit ribosomal RNA", at positions 354 to 796 of the family's 1533-position model. The record is from RNAcentral.
GUGGGGAAUAUUGCGCAAUGGGGGCAACCCUGACGCAGCAAUACCGCGUGAGUGAAGAAGGUUUUCGGAUCGUAAAACUCUUUUAUUGGGGAAGAAGAAGUGACGGUACCCAAUGAAGAAGUCCCGGCUAACUACGUGCCAGCAGCCGCGGUAAUACGUAGGGGACAAGCGUUGUCCGGAAUCACUGGGCGUAAAGGGCGCGUAGGCGGUUUUAUAAGUCAGAUGUGAAAGGUACCGGCUCAACCGGUGACGUGCAUUUGAAACUGUAAGACUUGAGUACUGGAGAGGCAAGUGGAAUUCCUAGUGUAGCGGUGAAAUGCGUAGAUAUUAGGAGGAACACCGGUGGCGAAGGCGGCUUGCUGGACAGAUACUGACGCUGAGGUGCGAAAGCGUGGGGAGCGAACAGGAUUAGAUACCCUAGUAGUCC